Molecule: ribosomal RNA, 253 nt
Filed under: uncultured bacterium
Lineage: Bacteria
Description: partial 16S ribosomal RNA
Rfam family: Bacterial small subunit ribosomal RNA
Source: RNAcentral
UACGUAGGGUGCAAGCGUUAAUCGGAAUUACUGGGGGUAAAGCGUGCGCAGGCGGUUUUGUAAGUCUGAUGUGAAAUCCCCGGGCUCAACCUGGGAAUUGCAUUGGAGACUGCAAGGCUAGAAUCUGGCAGAGGGGGGUAGAAUUCCACGUGUAGCAGUGAAAUGCGUAGAGAUGUGGAGGAACACCGAUGGCGAAGGCAGCCCCCUGGGUCAAGAUUGACGCUCAUGCACGAAAGCGUGGGGAGCAAACAGG